Molecule: ribosomal RNA, 504 nt
Filed under: uncultured bacterium
Lineage: Bacteria
Description: partial 16S ribosomal RNA
Rfam family: Bacterial small subunit ribosomal RNA
Source: RNAcentral
AUUGAACGCUGGCGGCAGGCCUAACACAUGCAAGUCGAACGGUAGCACAGAGAGCUUGCUCUCGGGUGACGAGUGGCGGACGGGUGAGUAAUGUCUGGGAAACUGCCCGAUGGAGGGGGAUAACUACUGGAAACGGUAGCUAAUACCGCAUAACGUCGCAAGACCAAAGUGGGGGACCUUCGGGCCUCACACCAUCGGAUGUGCCCAGAUGGGAUUAGCUAGUAGGUGGGGUAAUGGCUCACCUAGGCGACGAUCCCUAGCUGGUCUGAGAGGAUGACCAGCCACAAGGGAACUGCGACACGGUCCAGACUCCUACGGGGGGCAGCAGUGGGGAAUAUUGCACAAUGGGCGCAAGCCUGAUGCAGCCAUGCCGCGUGUAUGAAGAAGGCCUUCGGGUUGUAAAGUACUUUCAGCGGGGAGGAAGGCGGUGAAGUUAAUAGCUUCACCGAUUGACGUUACCCGCAGAAGAAGCACCGGCUAACUCCGUGCCAGCCGCCGCAGUAA